AACGAACGCUGGCGGCGCGCCUAAUACAUGCAAGUCGAGCGAGAAGGUGUAGCAAUACACUUGUAAAGCGGCGAACGGGUGAGGAAUACAUGGGUAACCUACCCUCGAGUGGGGAAUAACUAGCCGAAAGGUUAGCUAAUACCGCGUACGCUUCCGGAACUGCGGUUCCGGAAGGAAAGCGAUACUGUGAGUAUCGCGCUCUUGGAUGGGCUCAUGUCCUAUCAGCUUGUUGGGAGGUAACGGCUCACCAAGGCUUCGACGGGUAGCUGGUCUGGGAGGACGAUCAGCCACACUGGCACUGCGACACGGGCCAGACUCCUACGGGAGGCAGCAGUAAGGAAUAUUGCGCAAUGGACGACAGUCUGACGCAGCGACGCCGCGUGGGGGAUGAAGGUCUUCGGAUUGUAAACCCCUUUCGGGAGGGAAGAUGGAAUGGGGUAACCCGAUUCGGACGGUACCUCCAGAAGCAGCCACGGCUAACUUCGUGCCAGCAGCCGCCGU
RNAcentral lists this ribosomal RNA (501 nucleotides) under uncultured bacterium. RNAcentral's name for it is "bacterial SSU rRNA". It matches the Rfam family "Bacterial small subunit ribosomal RNA", at positions 29 to 521 of the family's 1533-position model. The record is from RNAcentral.